ACAUGCAGAGAACUUUCCAGAGAUGGAUUGGUGGCCUUCGGGAACUCUGACACAGGUGCUGCAUGGCUGUCGUCAGCUCGUGUCGUGAGAUGUUGGGUUAAGUCCGUAACGAGCGCAACCCUUGUCCUUAGUUACCAGCACGUUAUGGUGGGCACUCUAAGGAGACUGCCGGUGACAAACCGGAGGAAGGUGGGGAUGACGUCAAGUCAUCAUGGCCCCUACGGCCUGGGCUACACACGUGCUACAAUGGUCGGUACAAAGGGUUGCCAAGCCGCGAGGUGGAGCUAAUCCCAUAAAACCGAUCGUAGUCCGGAUCGCAGUCUGCAACUCGACUGCGUGAAGUCGGAAUCGCUAGUAAUCGUGAAUCAGAAUGUCACGGUGAAUACGUUCCCGGGCCUU
RNAcentral lists this ribosomal RNA (399 nucleotides) under uncultured Pseudomonas sp. Its description in RNAcentral is "bacterial SSU rRNA". It matches the Rfam family "Bacterial small subunit ribosomal RNA", at positions 984 to 1382 of the family's 1533-position model. The record is from RNAcentral. Lineage: Bacteria; Pseudomonadati; Pseudomonadota; Gammaproteobacteria; Pseudomonadales; Pseudomonadaceae.